GAUGAACGCUAGCUACAGGCUUAACACAUGCAAGUCGUGGGGCAUCAUGAUGUAGUAAUACAUUGAUGGCGACCGGCGCACGGGUGAGUAACGCGUAUCCAACCUACCCUCCACUCAAGUAUAGGCUUCCGAAAGGGAGAUUAAUCCUUGAUAUCGUCAUUCUCUCUCCUGUUAGAAUGAUAAAAGGACAUCGUUUCGGUAGAGGAUGGGGAUGCGUUCCAUUAGGUAGUAGGUGGUUUAACAGGCCACCUAGCCGGUGAUGGAUAGGGGUUCUGAGAGGAAUGUCCCCCACACUGGUACUGAGAUACGGACCAGACUCCUACGGGAGGCAGCAGUGAGGAAUAUUGGUCAAUGGGCGCAAGCCUGAACCAGCCAUGUAGCGUGAAGGAUGACGGUUUUUUUGAUUGUAAACUUCUUUUCUGUGCGAUUAAAGUGUGGCAUUUAUGCCAUAUUGCAGU
This 458-nucleotide ribosomal RNA is filed under the name Bacteroidetes bacterium oral taxon 272. RNAcentral describes it as "bacterial SSU rRNA". It matches the Rfam family "Bacterial small subunit ribosomal RNA", at positions 28 to 475 of the family's 1533-position model. Lineage: Bacteria; Pseudomonadati; Bacteroidota. The record is from RNAcentral.